This 468-nucleotide ribosomal RNA is filed under the name uncultured bacterium. RNAcentral describes it as "partial 16S ribosomal RNA". It matches the Rfam family "Bacterial small subunit ribosomal RNA", at positions 28 to 507 of the family's 1533-position model. The record is from RNAcentral.
GACGAACGCUGGCGGCGUGCCUAACACAUGCAAGUCGAACGGAAAGGCCCUGCUUUUGUGGGGUUCUCGAUUGGCGAACGGGUGAGUAACACGUGAGUAACCUGCCCUUGACUUUGGGAUAACUUCAGGAAACUGGGGCUAAUACCGGAUAUGAUCUCCUGCUGCAUGGUGUGGGUUGGAAAGUUUCGGCGGUUGGGGAUGGACUCGCGGCUUAUCAGCUUGUUGGUGUGGUAGUGGCUUACCAAGGCUUUGACGGGUAGCCGGCCUGAGAGGGUGACCGGCCACAUUGGGACUGAGAUACGGCCCAGACUCGUACGGGAGGCAGCAGGGGGGAAUAUUGCACAAUGGGCGGAAGCCUGAUGCAGCAACGCCGCGUGCGGGAUGCCGGCCUUCGGGUUAUAAACCGCUUUGGAAUGAAACGAAGAGUGCGUGACGGUAAUGGGUAAAGAAGCAACGGCUAACUACGUG